RNAcentral lists this ribosomal RNA (465 nucleotides) under Vreelandella stevensii. RNAcentral's name for it is "partial 16S ribosomal RNA". It matches the Rfam family "Bacterial small subunit ribosomal RNA", at positions 338 to 795 of the family's 1533-position model. The record is from RNAcentral. Lineage: Bacteria; Pseudomonadati; Pseudomonadota; Gammaproteobacteria; Oceanospirillales; Halomonadaceae.
CCUACGGGGGGCUGCAGUGGGGAAUAUUGGACAAUGGGGGGAACCCUGAUCCAGCCAUGCCGCGUGUGUGAAGAAGGCCCUCGGGUUGUAAAGCACUUUCAGUGAGGAAGAACGCCUGGUGGUUAAUACCCAUCAGGAAAGACAUCACUCACAGAAGAAGCACCGGCUAACUCCGUGCCAGCAGCCGCGGUAAUACGGAGGGUGCGAGCGUUAAUCGGAAUUACUGGGCGUAAAGCGCGCGUAGGUGGCUUGAUAAGCCGGUUGUGAAAGCCACGGGCUCAACCUGGGAACGGCAUCCGGAACUGUCAAGCUAGAGUGCAGGAGAGGAAGGUAGAAUUCCCGGUGUAGCGGUGAAAUGCGUAGAGAUCGGGAGGAAUACCAGUGGCGAAGGCGGCCUUCUGGACUGAAACUGACACUGAGGUGCGAAAGCGUGGGUAGCAAACAGGAUUAGAUACCCCUGUAGUC